GCUCGGGUAGCUCAACGGUAGAGCGUUCCUGUUCAAAAAAGAACAGGAAAGACUAGGGGUUCAAUUCCCCUCCUUUGCA
This 79-nucleotide transfer RNA is filed under the name Candidatus Woesebacteria bacterium. RNAcentral describes it as "tRNA-OTHER". It matches the Rfam family "tRNA". Rfam says of the family: Transfer RNA (tRNA) molecules are approximately 80 nucleotides in length. Lineage: Bacteria; Candidatus Woeseibacteriota. The record is from RNAcentral.